GCGGCAGGCCUUAUACAUGCAAGUCGAGGGGCAGCAUAGAUUGCUUGCAAUCUGAUGGCGACCGGCGAACGGGUGCGUAACGCGUAUGCAACUUACCUUUUACUAGGAGAUAGCCAAGAGAAAUUUUGAUUAAUAUCCUAUACAAUUAUUUUUUCGCAUGAAUUAAUAAUAAAAGCUCAGGCGGUAAAAGAUGGGCAUGCGUCCUAUUAGCUAGUAGGUGAGGUAAAGGCUCACCUAAGCAACGAUAGGUAGGGGUCCUGAGAGGGAGAUCCCCCACACUGGUACUGAGACACGGACCAGACUUCUACGGAAGGCAGCAGUAAGGAAUAUUGGACAAUGGAGGCAACUCUGAUCCAGCCAUGCCGCGUGCAGGAAGACGGCCUUAUGGGUUGUAAACUGCUUUUAUACAGGAAGAAACCUGCUCACGUGUGAGCAGCUGACGGUACUGUAAGAAUAAGGAUCGGCUAACUCCGUGCCAGCAGCCGCGGUAAUACGGAGGAUCCAAGCGUUAUCCGGAAUUAUUGGGUUUAAAGGGUCCGCAGGCUGUUUGUUAAGUCAGAGGUGAAAUCCUACCGCUCAACGGUAGAACUGCCUUUGAUACUGACAAACUUGAGUUAUUGUGAAGUAAUUAGAAUGUGUAGUGUAGCGGUGAAAUGCAUAGAUAUUACACAGAAUACCGAUUGCGAAAGCAGAUUACUAACAAUAUACUGACGCUGAGGGACGAAAGCGUAGGUAGCGAACAGGAUUAGAUACCCUGGUAGUCUACGCCGUAAACGAUGGUCACUAGCUGUUCGAUAUACAUUGGUAUGUUGAGUGGCUAAGCGAAAGUGAUAAGUGACCCACCUGGGGAGUACGCUC
This 858-nucleotide ribosomal RNA is filed under the name uncultured Flavobacteriaceae bacterium. RNAcentral's name for it is "bacterial SSU rRNA". It matches the Rfam family "Bacterial small subunit ribosomal RNA", at positions 39 to 887 of the family's 1533-position model. The record is from RNAcentral. Lineage: Bacteria; Pseudomonadati; Bacteroidota; Flavobacteriia; Flavobacteriales; Flavobacteriaceae.